ACCAGAAUCCCAAGCUCACGAGGCGGAGCAAACCCCCGCGACCCCGUGGUGGGGGCUUGGGGCCCGCGGACUUUGCCCCCUGGUGGACUUUGGUCUGAGCCCGCCGCCCUCCGCGCCACUCCAGGCCCUGGCGAGCGCGGCGGCGGCAGCGCUGGGGAACGGCGUCCCGCGCCCUCUGCUUCUCCGCGGGGCAGGGGCUCGGUCCCCGCCACCGUCUCCGGGGCGCCCCACACACUGGCGCCUGCGGUGGGGCCUGCUCCCGGCGGAGGACAAAGAAUCCAGACCCUUCCUGGACGCUUGUCCCCAGACGUUCCUUCCCUCUACGCCCCGAGGGGAAUCCCAGGGAAGGUUCCCAGAAAUACUACAGUGAGGAGAUCGCGGGUUGGAAGUCCCAGCACCUGAGAACACGGUGCUGGCGCUGGGCUCAAGAUUUGGCUUUCCCAUCUGGAAAAGGGGAAUGACUGCCCCGCCACUCAGGGCUGCGGCGCUCACCCAGCGGGAAGCCGCACGGCGGUCCCCGCAGGUCCCGAUUCAAGGUGAGCCCCAGACCUGCUGCGUGCGGCCGGCAGACUCCGCCGCGGGCUCGGCGAGGGGAGCGGUGCAGGCGCCGAGCUGCGGAGCCCGGGCUCAGGGCAGGACCGCGAGCCCUCCCCACCUGAGGCCCAGCCGAGCGGCCGCUGUCCGCGCAGUGUCGCAGUGGACCCCGAGCCCCGUGCUGAACUCCUUAGGCGUCUUAGGAACAUACUCAGUUCGCACGCAGCUAUGGGAGGAAUUUGGCAGAUGUGGACACCGGCCUCAGUGUCCUAGCCCUCGGGAAUCUCGGGGUGUUAAUGAUGACAGCCCCGUGUGAGAGACUCUAACAGUUAUCCUGGGGGUGAGGGGCUGGGGCGCUGGGCCUGGGCGUGCAUGUGUGAGGAAAGAGAAAUCUGCGCGGGUGUGGAAGAUGGAGAAGCCUGUCUUUCUGCAGGACUCAGAACUUUCUUAGGAAGUUUGGAGGGAGUGGGAGCUGACGGGUAGGGGAGGAGGAAAAUGGCUCAGGCCCCUGACACCGGAAUCCAGACUAUAGAGUUUAAGAAACUAAACGCCUCUAAAUCCUGCCCUCACAGCCCGCCUGGCCUGGGCUGGUUUUCUCAGCAUUCCAGACAUAAAGACUCCUCUAGUACAACUCAAAAUCAAAACCCAGACGACAGGAAGCCGAAUUCCCCACUGAGACCCUCCCGUUUCCUCUCUGACGCUCUUUUUUUUUUUUUCAUUUUUCUCUCUCCUUUUUUUUAGUUAUUUAUCUAGCACAGUUUUAGCUGAGCACUUCUAGUGCAAAACUAGAAUAUCGUUUUGCACCCAAGUAACUCACACCACCUUCUUUAUUUUUCUCAUCUACAAGUAAUCAGAGGAGACGUAAACAAUGACACAUGAAGCACUGAGGAUCUGAGAUGUGUUAAGUUUGCUUUGAGUGUUAGUUAAAUGGAGGGAUGGGUGAGUGGGUGGAUGAAGGCAUCAAUGAAUUCACACAAAAAGGAGAAAAAAUUGAUUUCAGCCCAACAGAUGUUCCGUUACCAUAGUGCAAAGGAAAGAAUGAUAGGUACUCUGUAUUUUAACUGAUGUGAUCAAAUAAUGUGAAUAAUUAAGGCCACAAGUAGAAUUUUGGGGGUCUGAAAUAUCCCGAGUAACCCUCUACACAAGCUAAAUGACUGCUAUGUUAUCACUAUCAAAUAUGCCCUCUGAUUUGUGCUGUGUAGAGCAAAUACCACGUCUGGUCUACUGAAUUGGCAAGCCUCCUGGCUCAGGCACCACUGGACUCCAAUGUUCAGAAAACGGACAGUUGCUAUGUUGUGAGUAUUCUGGCAUUGUUGAGUUGGAACCAUCUGGAAUCCUUCUGGAUACUGACUGUUGGGCCCCUUGUAGUUUCUGGAAUUUACCCGCUUCUAGGAGCCACCUCUCUCCUCUGCACACAGGAGCUCAUCUGCACUAAAGGAUUAGAAGCAAAUAGAAUCUACCCCACGAUCCAAGCUCAAAGGAUCUGGCCUGCUUGCUGGUGUCUUCCCCUGGCCUCCGCUGGGUGGUGUUUGCCUGCCCAGGUCACUGAGACCAGCAGAUCCUUCUAGGCUUUGCUGAACCUGGCUGGUAAUAACUAUCUGACCCUUCAAUUCUUCCAUACACUGAACUCGUUGCUCCAGUGAAUCCCUUUCCCAGCCCACCUUGUUUUGUCUCUGCCUUUCUGUCUCUCCCACUUUCUCACCCUUUCAUGUAAUUCAGCAACUAUUUUAAAACAAAUAGCUUUAUAUGAACAAAAGGACUAGAUCAUGAACUACACUGGUUAUUUGGAAGUCUAGGUUCUGGUCCUGCUACCCCUUUAACUUGAGUUAUUUACAAGUCUGUUUAAAAGUUUCUAGACAUACACUGGUUUGUUUUUUGUUUGGCUAUCGUUUUGUUUUUCAUUUCUAAUUGUAUUGCAUUGUGGUGAGAGAAGAUGGUCCGUGUUGUAUUAUUUUUGGGUGGGGAGAUGUGUUAAGAUUUCCUUUGCAGUUUAGCUUAUGGUCAAUUUUUGUGAAUGUGUAUACUCUGCUUAGAACGUAGUUCAGAAUAUUUCUAUUAGGUCAUGCUAUUGUGUUAGUCAAAUAGUCUUGAUCUUUAUUUUUUAAAGUGCUUAAUAUUUUAUUUUCCAAGAGAGAUAUGUUAAAAUCUAACACUGUGAUUUUUGGGGUCAAUUUUUCCUUUUUUUUUUUUUUUUUUUUUUUGAGACCGGUUCUCACUCUGUGCCUAGGCUGGAGUGCAGUGGUGCGAUCUUAGCCUCAAUCUCUCCGGGCUCAUGUGAUCCUCCUGCCUGUCCUCACUGUAGCUGGGACUACAGGCUCACACCACCACGCCUGGCUUUUUGUAUUUUUUUUGUAGAGAUGGGGUUUCCCCAUGUUGUCCAGGCUGGUCUUGAACUCCUGGGCUCACAAAGUGCUGUAAUCACAAAGUGCUGGGAUUACAGCUGCGAGCCAGUGUGCCCAGCCUCUCCUUAUUCUUUAACAGCUUUUGCUUUACAUAUUCUGAAUGUAUGUCAUUAGACGAAAACAUGCUCAUGACUAUUUUAUCUUCUUCUUGUAGUGUUUCUUUUAUCUCUAAGAAAUAUUUCCUCUUAGUUUCUUUUCACCUUGACUUCAACUUUGAUAUUAAUAUUCCUACACCCACUUUGUGCUAGUGUUUUCCAGAUAUGGUAAGUUGAUCAAAAAGAUGACACAAUAACUCCUUCCCUUCCUGAAUCCAUACGCCUUGUGACUUUGCCUCUGUUCUAAUAAGAGGUGAAGUCCAUUUCCUUAUUCGUUGAAUCAUGUUUGGCAUUGUGACUUGUGAAUACAGAAGGCAGCAGAACUAAUGCUAUGGGACAUCUGAGUCUAGUCCUCACCAGGUCUCCCAGCUGCUGAUCUCAUCACCUGGAACGCUGCUCCCACCAUGUGUAGAAGCCUGGGUUAGUGUCCUGGAGGAUGAGAGACAAUGUGGAGGGUGAGGCUGGCCAACAGCCUGCACCAGCUGUGUAAGACCAUCUGAGAUGACUGUAGCUGCAUGAGUGAACCCAGGGGAGACAUGCAGAGACUUGCCCAGCUGUCUUACUUGUUACUUUAAGCCAUUCAGUUUUUUCUAAGAUAAAAAAGGUUAGUUUAUCUAGGCAGAAAUAGUAUGUAAAUAAUUAUACAAGUAGUACAUGGAUAUGACGAAAACCUUGAAGCUGAUGUGCAAAGAGCUGAAAUUUGGAAAAUACUUAAUGAGAGAAUGGCCUAAAGAGCUAUUCGGUACUCUGAAUUCCCCAAAGGCAAGGACCAAUAUUUAUCCACCUCCGAUAUCUCCUCCGGAACCUUACACAGUACUUGGAACACAGUGGACUCUCUACAAAUACCAAAUUGGGAAUUAACUCUUAUUAUAAACACUGAGUGUCAGCCCUGGUUCUUCCGGGCUCCAAAACUAACAUAUGAGUAGAUUUCUCCAGGUAGACAAGAGUGAGGUAAACCCCCAAGAAUCAGGAACUAGAGCCAAGUAAAGAAUAAGCCCCGAGAAGCUUUGAGUAAAAAAGGAUACUGUUUGCACAUUGCGUAUUGGAAAACAAGUAGAAAGUCCAAAAACAAAAUAAAAACUUACAGCAGGAAGAAAAAAAAAAAAAGCCCCACAAACUCUACAGCUUAAGUUAGCCUAACCACAGCUGAGAUAUUUCUUCCGAAAGAACUAAAUGACAAGUUGAGAGAAAGGCCCCAUUGUCAGGUCAGCUGUUCCUGAGAAGAACUAAAUUCAAAACUAGACAAAACUCUCUCACUACUAAAAACGCAUAUAGACAGGGAAGCAUUUUUUCAAGUUAUACUAAUAAGUUGACUUGGAUGCUUUAAUAGCUUUCAUGAAUAAUUCUGAAAAUUGUUUAGCAUAUUUGAGGAACUCCACAACUACUUAGAAUAAAAAGAAAAGCAACUUUUUAAAAUUUAGUAGUAUCUCAAAAAAGAAAAACCUAGUUACAUGUUCUUGUAAAGAAGUUUCACUAUUAAUAUCAAAUGCUCCAGAAGUUUACUUUAUAAGACAUAUUCAAAAUAUAUACCCAAUAAUCUAAAUUUAGAUGCUAGAGUAGCAAUAUAAUUUUGGUUCUCCAAAGAUUACCAAGCAUGAAAUAGCAGUCUCCUUGGGGUGUUGCCAAACCAGGUGUCUUUACAUCCCAUGAGAUCUUAACACCAACAUGCCAAGUAUCAAGAUCUCUGCCUUCAAGAUGAGAGUCGUCCUCACUUUCCUCUUUGGGGCCUGUCCACCAGAUUUUCAGCAUGAUGCCAGCGCACUGCCAUUUUCCGCAUGCCAAAAUAAGGUUUCUCUUUCAGGUGUGGGAUUUUCGGAGGAUCCAUGAAUUCAGCAAAGUUACGUUGUAUGCUGCUCUACUCUUUAUGUCCAGUUCAUCUUCUUGUCCAUCACCGGAUGACCCCAUGCCAGCACUGGGGAAAUCUGCAGCCAAACACACUGGCACAGCAUCCUCAUUAGCUUUCUCUUUGGCAGCAAGUUCUUCCAAAGCCUAGAUUAUUUCUAUCUGCAGGUAGUCAUUGACCUUGAGGAAGGUCUGACAAGCAGCAGCUAUUUCAGCCUUGGUGUAUUUUAUUUUAUUUUUUGAGACAGAGUCUCACUCUGUUUCCCAGGCUGGAGUGCAGUGGCACGAUCUUGGCUCACUGCAGCCUCUGCCUCCUGGGUUUGAGCGAUCCUCCUGCCUCAGCCUCCCGAGUAGCUGGGAUUGCAGGUCCGUCCAUGCCAUCAUGCUAAUUUUUGUAUUUUUUUUAGUGGAGACAGGGUUUCACCAUUUUGGCCAGGCUGGUCUGGAACUCCUGGCCUCAAGUGAUCUGCCCACCUCGGCCUCCCAAAUUGCUGGAUUACAGGGCGUGAGUCACUGCACCUGACCCUCGGUGUAUUUUAUAUUAGACCCUUUCACUGGCCAUGGUACCAUAAAGAACCUAGUGUUCAGGGACUUGUAGGUGCAACCUGGAUUACCAAUGAGGAUGGGAGAUACUGAAGUGAGCAAAUCUUUGCCUUGGAUCCUAACCAGGGCUCAAAAUAAGCAGCCAUGCUUGUGCAGUGUGAGAAAAGCUUCUUGAGCCUCUUUUUUUUUUUUUUUUUUUUUUUGAGACGGAGUCUCACUUUGUCUCCCAGGCUAGAGUGCAGUGGCUCGAUCUUAGCUCACUGCAAGCUCUGCCUCCCAGGUUCACGCCAUUCUCCUGCCUCAGCCUCCCGAGUAGCUGGGACUACAGGCAUCCACCACUACGCCCGGCUAAUUUUUAAAAAUAUUUUUAGUAGAGAUGUGGUUUCACCGUGUUAGCCAGGAUGGUCUCGAUCUCCUGACCUCGUGAUCCUCCUGCCUCGGCCUCCCAAAGUGCUGGGAUUACAGGCGUGAGCCACUGCGCCCGGCCUCUUGAGCCUCUUUAUGGAGCUCCCCAGAUACACUGCUGGCUUCUUGGAGAAUUAAUUUAGGAUAUUUCAGCUGCCACGGCUGAUAGAAUUCAUCUUUGGGGGUCAGAUAAGGAAGCCAAGUGUCUUCAAACUCUUCAAAAUGCCUCAGUUUCUUAGCUUUGCACUCUUGUUCCUCGGCAAUCAGGGUGUGCUUCAUGCGGCCACUAAAGCCACCUUCCUAAGUCAUUAAGGUUUGGUUUGGUUUUGUUUUUUGAGACAGUCUCACUCUGUCGCCCAGGCUGAAGUGCAGUGGCACAAUCUUGGCUCACUGCAACCACCACCUCCCGGGUUCAAAUGAUUCUACUGCCUCAGCCUCCCAAGUAACUGGGAUUACAGGCGCGUGACACCAUGCCCGGCUAACUUUGUAUUUUUAGUAGAGACAGGAUGUCACCAUGUUGGCCAGGCUGGUCUCGAACGCCUGACCUCAAGAGAUCCACCCGCCUCGGCCUCCCAAAGUGCUGGGAUUAUAGGCAUGAGCCACGUGCCCGGCACUAAGUCAUUAAGUUUUGAGGGUGGUUUGUUAUACUGCAGUAGAUAACUGAGACAACAGGUAUAUGGUUUCCCUGCAUCAUUUUGUUUUAGAUAUAUCUUUCAUGAAGGGCACCUACCUGGAGUUUAAAAAAAAUCCAAUCUGUUAGUUACGUGUUUAGUAGUCAUUGGAUUCAACUCUUUCAUAUCUAUUUAAUUAUUGCUACAUUUGUACUUAUUCGUAGCAUCUUCUUUUGGUUUUGUAACUACCAUGUUGUGUGAGUUUCCUAUAGCUGCUAUAAUAAAUUACCACAGGCCCAGCAUGGUGGCUCAAACCUAUAAUCCCAGCACUUCGGGAGGCCAGGGAGGAAGGAUGGCUUGAGGCCUGGAAUUUGAGACCAGCCUGGGCUAUAUAGCCAGAUGCUGUCUUUACGAAAAAAUAAAAUAAAAUAAAUUGAAAAAAAUCACAAACUUAGUGCCUUAAAACAACACAAAUGUAUUGUCUUAUAGUUUUGAAGGUCAGAAGUCUGAAUGGGUCUUAUAGGCUAAAUCAAGGUAUUGUCAGAGCUGCAUUAUUUCUGAGAACUCUAGAAGAAAAUCUGUUCUCUUGCCUUUUCCACCUUCUAGAAGCCACCUGCAUUCCUUGGCUCACAGGGUGCCUUCCUUCUUCAUUAAAACACAUCAUUUCAUUCUCUUUUUUUGUUGUCACAUUUCCUCUGUAACUAAUCCUUGUGAUUACAUUGGGCCUACCCAGAUAAUCCAGGAUAAUCUCUUCAUCGAACUACUUAAUCACAUCUGCAACAUCCCCUUUUGUUUUGUAAGGUGACAUACUCAGAUUCCGGGGAUCAGGACAGGAGAUUUUUGAAAAGAACCAAGAAGGAUUAUUUCAUCUACCACACAUCCCUUUUCCUGGUUUCUUUUUUAUCCUCUUUUUUGCUUUCCUAAUCUAUCAAGAUGCUUGUGGCUGCAAAGUAGCAGAGGCCUUAGUUAAACAAUGCUGUAAUCAACAGAAAGACAGAAGGCUUACACAACUGGAUACCCAGAGGAGAGUGAGCCCGUGACUCAGCAUCGCCAUCAUGGACCCUGGUUCUUUCCAUCCCUCCCAUCUGCUACCCAUAGCAUUAGCUUCAUCCCGAGGCUGGUUCCUUGAGUGGCCAAGGGAUGAGGCUGGAAGUGUCCUUAUUCACACCCACUGAGGGAGAUAGUUGAGUACUUAUCACUUUCCAUUUGGACCCGGUUUCACAAGCUUGGCACUAUUAUUAUUAUUAGCAGUAGUAGUGGUAGGGACGGGGGUCUCACUCUGGAGCUGUCUCACUCUGUUGCUCCAGGCUGGAGUGCAGUGGUGUGAUGACAGCUCACUGCAACCCUGAACUCCUGAGCUCAAGUGAUCCUCCUGCCUCAGCCUCCCAAGCAGCUGGGACUACAGGUGCGCAUCACCACACUGGAUUCAUUUUUAAAUUUUUUGUAGAGAUAGGUCCUCGAUAUGCUGCCCAAGCUGCUCUCAAAGUCCUUGGCUCAAGCGAUCUUCCCACCUUGGCUUCUCAAAGUGUUGGGAUUACAGGCGUGAGCCACUAAGCCCUGGCUCCCUUAGCAGUUUCCAAACCCACCCUGUGGUUUUCCCAAUACCUGCAGAACCAGCUUUAAAGUGACCACAGCAGAGAUGCCAGUGCAGAUGCUGGAGCCUUUCCUCAGAAGUCUGAGUUUCAAUUAUGCAGAGGGCUCUUCCUCCAACUUCUAAGCUUUAGUGGUUCAACUUCUUCCUUUGUUCUCUCAGCCCGAGUGGGUAGCUGCUUCUUGCAGUUACUAACUUAAGUGAUACUGCAGAUUUGUUUUUUUGACUUUUCAGUUAUCUAGUUAAUAACCAUAAACCUAGUUAACAGUUCUCUGUAUUACAUUGUCUCUGUUAAAUAAUUGGUAUAGUUUCUGUCCCCUGACUGAUGUAUCUUUAUAAGCUUAAUUCUCUAUUACGAUACAUUUGUUUAUGGUUGUGAUUUGCACCUCUGGGAGGGUUAGGUUCUAAGAUCAGGGUAUCAAACAAUAAAACUUGUUGGUCCCCCAAUACACUGCCUCCUUAAUGUAAUCGAAAUUGGCUGUUGGCCCUGGGAUGGAGCCAGCUACCCUAGCUAAGACACUGUUGGGCAGUGCAGAGCAGAAUUUGGCAGCUGAGGAGAAGGCCUCUCAUCUGGCUGUGGUCAGUGUCAGUUCCUCAGGGCUCUCUGCAAACAGAACUGGAAGUUUAUGCUCCCUUUUACCCCACAGGCAGAAGGUCCCUCUGGGAGAAAUUCAUAGGCCAGCUCUGUGCUGAGAUUUCAGUUUAGCUUAUAUAUCUGCUACAUUUCCAUUUUCCCCUGCUCCAGGGCCAGUUGGACCACCCCUCCCUCCCUGUCUUCCCUCCCUCCUUUCUCCAUGAAGACAUUUUUCAGCUCCCUCGUCUUCUUUCUCUUUUUUGCCAGGGGCCAUUGAAUGCUACCUCAUUUCAAAUCACUCUGGGUUAGUGCCCUCCUCCCAGCCCCCAUAUCCUCUGGCAUGUGCCUCAUUCUUCCUGGCAUGGAUCCCGCAUGUCUUAGAUGGGAGAAGGCAUGCAUGGAUUCUUAUGAGUCCCGGGUACUGUGAGCAGUGGCCAAGCUUGGCAUUUCUUGUAGCCCAGAUGUCAUGGAGGAAUUCAUACUUGCUACCUACAGAUAAAGAAACAGAAAAUCAAUGACUUACCCGAGGCAUUUAGCCACUCCUACAACUUAAUUAAAAAAAAAGACCAAAACCCAAAAACAAAAAAGAAGACAAACAAAAAACAACAAAACAAUGGGCAAAAGGUUUGAGCAACCAUUUUAUAAAGAUACACAGAUGACCAAUAAGCACACACAAAAUAUUGCUUAACAUCAUUAGUUGAGCAAUUAAUGACAUGCUCAAAUUAAAUAUAUGCAAAUUAAUUUGCAUUGUAUAAAUGCAAAUUAACAUGCAAAUUAAAUAUACAAUGAGAUACUAUUACACACCCGGUAGAAUGGCUAAAAUUAAAGACUGACAAUAUGAAGCAUUGGUGAGGAUGUCAAGCAACUGGAACUCUCAACAUUACUGGUGGGAGUAUAAGGUGGCACAACUAAUUUGAAAAAAAAGAGUUCCAUAGUUUCUUAUAAAACUAAACAUAGGGGUCGGGUUCUGGGGCUCAUGUCCGUAAUCCCAGUGUUUUGGGAGGCUGAGGUGGGAAAAUCCCUUGAGGCCAGUAGUUCACGACAAGCCUGGGAAACAUGGCAAGACCUCAUUUCUAAUUUAAAAAAAAAAGUUCGCAGACAGUGGUGGCGUGUGCCUAUAGUCCCAUCUACUGGGGAGGCUCAGGCAGGAGGAUUGCAUGAGCCCGGGAGUCUGAGGUUGCAGUGGGCUAUGAUGGCAUCAUUGCACUCCAAUCUGGGCAACAGAGAUAGACCCUGUCUCAAAAACAAAGCCCCAAACAACCACCAAACAUAGGACCUUUAUCAAAAUUAAAAACUUUUGUGCAUCAAAGGACACUAUCAAGAGAGUGAAAAGGCAAGCUACAAAAUGGGAGAAAAUAUUUGCAAACCAUGUAUCUGAUAACGGGUUAAUAGCCAGAAUAUAAAACAACUCCCCAAACUCAACAACAAAAAAAACAAGCAACAGAAUUUAAAAAAUAGGCAAAGGACUUGACAGACAUUCCUCCAAAGGAGAUAUAUAAAUGGCUGAUAAACCCAUAAAAAGAUGCUCACAUCACUAAUGAUUAGGGAUGCGCAAAUCAAAACUACAGUGAGAUAGUGCUUCAUUUCAUUAGGAUGGCUAUUAUAAAAACAACAGCAACCACAACAAACCAAAACAUAAAAUGGCAAGUGUUGGUGAAGAUGUGGAACUCUUGUGUAUUUUUAGUGAGAAUGUAAAAAUGGCACAGCUGCUGUGGAAAACUGUAUGGUGGCUUAUCAAAAAAAUUGAACAUAGAAUUAACUGUAUCUUCCAGGAAUUCCACUUUUAGAGAUACACCCAAGAGAACUGAAAGCAGGGACUCAAACAGAUAUUUGUACACCGAUGUUAGUAGUAACAUUAGUCACAAUAACUAAAAGAUGAAAACAACCCAGCGUCUAUUGACAGAUGAAUGUAUAAACCAAACGUAGUAUCACAUAUAAUGAAAUAUUAUUCAGCCUUAAGAAGAAAUGAAGUUUUGAUAGAUGUUACAACAUAAAUAAGCCUUAAAAAUAUUACGCUAAGUGAAACAAACCAUGCACAAAGGACAAAUAUUGUAUGAUUCCACUUUUAUGAAUACUCAGAAUAGUCAAAUUUGUAGAGAUAGAAGGUAAAAUAGUGGUUACUGGGCUCGGGGGAGGAGGUAAUGGAGAGUUAUUGUUUAAUGGGUAUGGGGUUUCAGUUGAGAUGAGAAAAAAGUUGCGGAGAUGAAUAGUGGAGAUGGUUGUACAACAACGUAAAUGUAUUUAAUGCCACUGAAUCACACACUUAAAAAGGGUUAAAAUGGUAAAUUUUAUGUUCUGUAUAUUUUACCACUAUAAAAAGAAAAAAAU
Molecule: long non-coding RNA, 10925 nt
Filed under: Homo sapiens (human)
Lineage: Eukaryota; Metazoa; Chordata; Mammalia; Primates; Hominidae
Description: non-protein coding lnc-MTA3-5:1
Source: RNAcentral